AUUGAACGCUGGCGGCAGGCCUAACACAUGCAAGUCGAGCGAGCGGCGGACGGGUGAGUAAUGUAUGGGGACUGCCCGAUAGAGGGGGAUAACUACUGGAAACGGUAGCUAAUACCGCAUACUAUCGGAUAACCCAUAUGGGAUUAGCUAGUAGGUGAGGUAAUGGCUCACCUAGGCGACGAUCCCUAGCUGGUCUGAGAGGAUGAUCAGCAACACGGGGACUGAGACACGGCCCAGACCCCUCCGGAGGCAGCAGGGGGGAAUAUUGCACAAUGGGCGAAAGCCUGAGGCAGCCAUGCCGGGUGUAUGAAGAAGGCCCGAGGGUUGUAAAGUAUUUUCAGUGGGGAGGCGUUACCGAAAGAAGAAGCCCCGGCUAACUCCGUGCCAGCAGCCGCGGUAAUAC
This 403-nucleotide ribosomal RNA is filed under the name uncultured bacterium. RNAcentral's name for it is "partial 16S ribosomal RNA". It matches the Rfam family "Bacterial small subunit ribosomal RNA", at positions 29 to 526 of the family's 1533-position model. The record is from RNAcentral.